CCUACGGGUGGCAGCAGUAGGGAAUAUUGGACAAUGAGGGGAACCCUGAUCGAGCGACACCGCGUGAGUGAAGAAGUAUUUCGGUAUGUAAAGCGCUGUCAGCAGGGAAGAAAGAUAUGACGGUACAUGACUAAGAAACCCCGGCUAACUACGUGCCAGUAGGCGCGGUAAUACGUAGGGGGCAAGCGUUAUCCGGAUUUGCUGGGUGUAAAGGGAGCGUAGACGGGGAUGCAAGUCUGAAGUGAAAGGCGGGGGCCCAAACCCCGGACUGCUUUGGAAACUGUCUGGCUGGAGUGCAGGAGAGGUAAGUGGAAUUCCUAGUGUAGCGGUGAAAUGCGUAGAUAUUAGGAGGAACACCAGUGGCGAAGGCGGCUUACUGGA
Molecule: ribosomal RNA, 381 nt
Filed under: uncultured bacterium
Lineage: Bacteria
Description: partial 16S ribosomal RNA
Rfam family: Bacterial small subunit ribosomal RNA
Source: RNAcentral